CGGCGUGCUUAACACAUGCAAGUCGAACGAACCUUCGGGUUAGUGGCGGACGGGUGAGUAACGCGUGAGAAUCUGCCCUCAGGAGGGGGAUAACAGUUGGAAACGACUGCUAAUACCCCAUAUGCCGAGAGGUGAAACGAAUUUUGCCUGGGGAUGAGCUCGCGUCUGAUUAGCUUGUUGGUGGGGUAAAAGCCUACCAAGGCUUCGAUCAGUAGCUGGUCUGAGAGGACGAUCAGCCACACUGGGACUGAGAUACGGCCCAGACUCCUACGGGAGGCAGCAGUGGGGAAUUUUCCGCAAUGGGCGCAAGCCUGACGGAGCAACGCCGCGUGAGGGAUGAAGGCCUUUGGGCUGUAAACCUCUUUUCUCAACGAAGAAGAUCUGACGGUACUUGAGGAAUAAGCCACGGCUAAUUCCGUGCC
RNAcentral lists this ribosomal RNA (422 nucleotides) under uncultured bacterium. RNAcentral describes it as "bacterial SSU rRNA". It matches the Rfam family "Bacterial small subunit ribosomal RNA", at positions 40 to 509 of the family's 1533-position model. The record is from RNAcentral.